UUACAGACACGAAGCUAUUCACUGCUUGCUCAAUUAUCCGAAACGUUGCGAUUUAUGUGCGUCAUACGUGGACGCUGAAAAGUUUCAGGUAGCUGUUUGUUAGUGAACCUAAUCAUGCGUCAGCUGAAAGGAAAACCCGCUAAAGAAACCAAGAAAGAUAAAAGGGAGAGAAGAAGGGAUAAUAUUGAAAAUAAAAACAAUGUGACAAGAGUUGUCCUUCCAGUUUGUGGUGCAUUGAUAGCAGCUUUAGUUGCCUUUGUGCUUUAUAGCACGAAUUUCAAAAUAUGAAGCAUUAUUUUGUUGACAUUUGUUUUACUAGUAUUUGAGAAAAACGUCAUGGAACAUUGUGUUUUAUUAUGUUCUUACUGUUACAAAUUAUGUGGAAAAAAACAAAUGUUUUUGCGGAAAAUUCAACGAAAAUUUUUACUUGACCAGUUUUACAUAAUUAUCCGGAAGAGUAAACCGAGCAGGGAAACAGCUGGAAUUAUAGAACAGAUCUAGAGCUAUUUUCAAAUGGAUCUCUUAAAUAACUGAAGAGCUAUUUUUUAAAAAACUUUUCCACCAUUGAUGUUUGGACAUUACAGGACUUUAAAUUUUAUUACAUGUAAUGAUGUACAAAUGUAUAUACAUUCAUUCAUAUAUAUUGUUCACAUUUGGUUUAACUAAGCUGAAAACUAUCACCCAUUAUCAUUUCCUAUUUUAAAAUGCUUUUUGAUGUAUUUUCUUUCCUGAUGUUUUGUUUUUAAAUGUGAUGUUACAUCCAUGAAUGGAUGGAUAAAGAUAGUACAGUUUUAGAUUACAUGAGAUACAUUUGUAAAGCUUGUGUUCAAGAAUUUCACCUACAUUU
Long non-coding RNA from Ruditapes philippinarum (Manila clam), 847 nucleotides. RefSeq lists it as uncharacterized. Lineage: Eukaryota; Metazoa; Mollusca; Bivalvia; Venerida; Veneridae. The record is from RefSeq and is a predicted model, not a curated record. The transcript is spliced from 2 exons.